Molecule: ribosomal RNA, 253 nt
Filed under: uncultured bacterium
Lineage: Bacteria
Description: partial 16S ribosomal RNA
Rfam family: Bacterial small subunit ribosomal RNA
Source: RNAcentral
UACGUAGGAUGCAAGCGUUAUCCGGAAUGAUUGGGCGUAAAGCGUCCGCAGGCGGCGAUGUAAGUCUGCUGUUAAAGAGUGAGGCUCAACCUCAUAAGAGCAGUGGAAACUACAUAGCUAGAGUACGUUCGGGGCAGAGGGAGUUCCUGGUGUAGCGGUGAAAUGCGUAGAGAUCAGGAAGAACACCAGUGGCGAAGGCGCUCUGCUAGGCCGUAACUGACACUGAGGGACGAAAGCUAGGGGAGCGAAUGGG